GAUGAACGCUGGCGGCGUGCCUAAUACAUGCAAGUCGAGCGAACAGAUGAGAAGCUUGCUCCUCUGACGUUAGCGGCGGACGUGUGAGUAACACGUGGAUAACCUACCUAUAAGACUGGGAUAACUUCGGGAAACCGGCGCUAAUACCGUAUAAUAUAUUGAACCGCAUGGUUCAAUAGUGAAAGACGGUUUUGCUGUCACUUAUAGAUGCAUUCGCGCCGCUUUAGCUAGUUGGUAAGGUAACGGCUUACCAAGGCAACGAUGCGUAGCCGACCUGAGAGCGUGAUCGGCCACACUGGAACUGGGACACGGUCAAGAGUCCUACGGGAGGGAGCAGAAGGGAAUCUUACGCAAUGGGGGAAAGCCUGACGGAGCGACGCAGCGUGAGUGAUGAAGGUCUUCGGAUCGUAAAACUCUGUUAUUAGGGAAGAACAAAUGUGUAAGUAACUGUGCACGUCUUGACGGUACCUAAACAGAAAGCCACGGCUAACUACGUG
This 497-nucleotide ribosomal RNA is filed under the name uncultured bacterium. RNAcentral's name for it is "partial 16S ribosomal RNA". It matches the Rfam family "Bacterial small subunit ribosomal RNA", at positions 28 to 507 of the family's 1533-position model. The record is from RNAcentral.